GCCCGCUCAGAAACUUAAAGGAAUUGACGGGGGCCCGCACAAGCGGAGGAACAUGUGGUUUAAUUCGAUGAUACGCGAGGAACCUUACCCGGGCUUGAAAUGCAUCUGACCGGCCUUGAAAGAGGUUUUCCCUUCGGGGCAGAUGUGUAGGUGCUGCAUGGUUGUCGUCAGCUCGUGCCGUGAGGUGUCGGCUUAAGUGCCAUAACGAGCGCAACCCCUACCUUUAGUUGCCAUCAGGUUAAGCUGGGGACUCUAAAGGAACUGCCUACGCAAGUAGUGAGGAAGGCGGGGAUGACGUCAAAUCAGCACGGCCCUUACGUCCAGGGCUACACACGUGCUACAAUGGCCGAUACAGAGGGCAGCUACCUGGUGACAGGAUGCAAAUCUCCAAAGUCGGUCUCAGUUCGGAUCGGAGUCUGCAACCCGACUCCGUGAAGUUGGAUUCGCUAGUAAUCGCGCAUCAGCCAUGGCGCGGUGAAUACGUUCCCGGGCCUU
Molecule: ribosomal RNA, 495 nt
Filed under: uncultured Sphingobacteriales bacterium
Lineage: Bacteria; Pseudomonadati; Bacteroidota; Sphingobacteriia; Sphingobacteriales
Description: bacterial SSU rRNA
Rfam family: Bacterial small subunit ribosomal RNA
Source: RNAcentral